Trifolium pratense (red clover) is the source of this 632-nucleotide long non-coding RNA. RefSeq lists it as uncharacterized. The transcript has 3 exons. The record is from RefSeq and is a predicted model, not a curated record. Lineage: Eukaryota; Viridiplantae; Streptophyta; Magnoliopsida; Fabales; Fabaceae.
UUCACUUCCUCUUUCAUGAAAAUUCAACAGCCGCUCCUUCAUUUCUUUCUUUGUUCCUUUUUUUUUUUCCUUCUUUUUCUCAACAUCUUCUUCAAUAUUUCAUAAGCUCACCUUCUUCAAUCAUCUCCUCUUCUUCUAACAAUCAACCCAUGGUUCAAUUGUUGCUUACAACCCCAAAUUUAUGUAAUAAUAACAGACCAAAUUCUCCCUUCUCUUCUUCAUGACACCCUUUCCGCCGCCACAACCCUUUGUCUGGAUUCUUCCAUUUUCCAACCUUCAAUGACUCCUCCACAACCACCAAUCCACCAUCUUCAUCCUUUCUAUAUGAUUUUAAAAUUUUACAACCAUUAACUUCUUAGUUAGAUCUUGACAACCACGGGAGCAAGUUCGUCGGAAACCACCGCGCCGGAAACCAUCGCCGCCGCAGCUAUCACUUUUCCGGUCAAGUUACCUUUACUCUAACAAUAUAGAAAUUUGGCUUGGUUGGCUUGAAAAAUGGCUUGGUUCAAUGCUACAUUAGUUCAGUUACUUAAUUUUUGGACUACAAAUAUCCUUGAAAUGGACAGGUGGCAAAUUAUGGAGCAAGGGCAAAACUGAUUUUUCCAUAGUAAUCAAUUUUCUUAUAUUGUAAU